AGUGAACGCUGGCGGUAGGCCUAACACAUGCAAUUCGAACGGCAGCACAGUAAGAGCUUGCUCUUACUGGUGGCGAGUGGCGGACGGGUGAGGAAUACAUCGGAAUCUACUUUUUCGUGGGGGAUAACGUAGGGAAACUUACGCUAAUACCGCAUACGACCUACGGGUGAAAGCAGGGGAUCUUCGGACCUUGCGCGAUUGAAUGAGCCGAUGUCGGAUUAGCUAGUUGGCGGGGUAAAGGCCCACCAAGGCGACGAUCCGUAGCUGGUCUGAGAGGAUGAUCAGCCACACUGGAAAUGAGACACGGUCCAGACUCCUACGGGAGGCAGCAGUGGGGAAUAUUGGACAAUGGGCGCAAGCCUGAUCCAGCCAUACCGCGUGGGUGAAGAAGGCCUUCGGGUUGUAAAGCCCUUUUGUUGGGAAAGAAAAGCAGCAGGUUAAUACCCCGCUGUUCUGACGGUACCCAAAGAAUAAGCACCGGCUAACUUCGUG
RNAcentral lists this ribosomal RNA (492 nucleotides) under uncultured bacterium. Its description in RNAcentral is "partial 16S ribosomal RNA". It matches the Rfam family "Bacterial small subunit ribosomal RNA", at positions 29 to 507 of the family's 1533-position model. The record is from RNAcentral.